This 253-nucleotide ribosomal RNA is filed under the name uncultured bacterium. RNAcentral describes it as "partial 16S ribosomal RNA". It matches the Rfam family "Bacterial small subunit ribosomal RNA", at positions 524 to 776 of the family's 1533-position model. The record is from RNAcentral.
UACGUAGGGCGCAAGCGUUGUCCGGAAUUACUGGGCGUAAAGCGCGUGUAGGCGGCUUGGCAAGUCGGGUGUGAAAGCCCCGGGCUCAACCUGGGAAGUGCACUCGAAACUGCUUGGCUUGAGUACUGGAGAGGGAAGCGGAAUUCUCGGUGUAGAGGUGAAAUUCGUAGAUAUCGAGAGGAACACCGGUGGCGAAGGCGGCUUCCUGGACAGUCACUGACGCUGAGACGCGAAAGCGUGGGGAGCAAACAGG